This 446-nucleotide ribosomal RNA is filed under the name uncultured bacterium. RNAcentral's name for it is "partial 16S ribosomal RNA". It matches the Rfam family "Bacterial small subunit ribosomal RNA", at positions 338 to 795 of the family's 1533-position model. The record is from RNAcentral.
CCUACGGGCGGCAGCAGUCGAGAAUCAUUCACAAUGGGGGAAACCCUGAUGGUGCGACGCCGCGUGGGGGAAUGAAGGUCUUCGGAUUGUAAACCCCUGUCAUGUGGGAGCAAAUUAAAAAGAUAGUACCACAAGAGGAAGAGACGGCUAACUCUGUGCCAGCAGCCGCGGUAAUACAGAGGUCUCAAGCGUUGUUCGGAAUCACUGGGCGUAAGGCGUGCGUAGGCUGUUUCGUAAGUCGUGUGUGAAAGGCGCGGGCUCAACCCGCGGACGGCACAUGAUACUGCGAGACUAGAGUAAUGGAGGGGGAACCGGAAUUCUCGGGGUAGCAGUGAAAUGCGUAGAUAUCGAGAGGAACACUCGUGGCGAAGGCGGGUUCCUGGACAUUAACUGACGCUGAGGCACGAAGGCCAGGGGAGCGAAAGGGAUUAGAUACCCUUGUAGUC